This 282-nucleotide ribosomal RNA is filed under the name Talaromyces ruber. Its description in RNAcentral is "partial 28S ribosomal RNA". It matches the Rfam family "Eukaryotic large subunit ribosomal RNA", at positions 351 to 650 of the family's 3401-position model. Lineage: Eukaryota; Fungi; Ascomycota; Eurotiomycetes; Eurotiales; Trichocomaceae. The record is from RNAcentral.
GAGUGAUCGAAAGAUGAAAAGCACUUUGAAAAGAGAGUUAAACAGCACGUGAAAUUGUUGAAAGGGAAGCGUUGUCCACCAGACUCGCCCGGGGGGGUUCAGCCGGCACGUGUGCCGGUGUACUCCUCUCCGGGCGGGCCAGCAUCGGUUUGGGCGGCUGGUGAAAGGCCCCGGGAAUGUACCACCCUCCGGGGUGUCUUAUAGCCCGGGGUGCCAUACAGCCAGCCUGGACCGAGGCCUGCGCUUCGGCGAGGAUGCUGGCGUAAUGGUGGUCAACGGCCC